Molecule: ribosomal RNA, 520 nt
Filed under: uncultured Glomus
Lineage: Eukaryota; Fungi; Glomeromycota; Glomeromycetes; Glomerales; Glomeraceae
Description: SSU rRNA
Rfam family: Eukaryotic small subunit ribosomal RNA
Source: RNAcentral
AGCAGCCGCGGUAAUUCCAGCUCCAAUAGCGUAUAUUAAAGUUGCUGCAGUUAAAAAGCUCGUAGUUGAAUUUCGGGACCAUCAUGUUGGUCGUGCCUCGGUACGUACUGGCAUUGUUGGUUUCUCCCUUCUGACGAACCAUGAUGUCAUUUAUUUGGUGUCGUGGGAAAUCAGGACUGUUACUUUGAAAAAAUUAGAGUGUUUAAAGCAGGCUCACGCUUGAAUACAUUAGCAUGGAAUAAUGAAAUAGGACGUUUGAUUCUAUUUUGUUGGUUUCUAGGAUCGACGUAAUGAUUAAUAGGGAUAGUUGGGGGCAUUAGUAUUCAAUUGUCAGAGGUGAAAUUCUUGGAUUUAUUGAAGACUAACUGCUGCGAAAGCAUUUGCCAAGGAUGUUUUCAUUAAUCAAGAACGAAAGUUAGGGGAUCGAAGACGAUCAGAUACUGUCGUAGUCUUAACCAUAAACUAUGCCGACUAGGGAUCGGAUGAUGUUAAUUUUUUAAUGACUCAUUCGGCGCCUUAC